RNAcentral lists this long non-coding RNA (394 nucleotides) under Ananas comosus (pineapple). Its description in RNAcentral is "long non-coding RNA (ACOM_LNC029042)". Lineage: Eukaryota; Viridiplantae; Streptophyta; Magnoliopsida; Poales; Bromeliaceae. The record is from RNAcentral.
UUUGAGUUGUGUUGCCUGCGAGCUAGAGAGAGAGAGAGAGAGAGAGAGAGAAGAGAGCUCGAGCGUGAGGGGCGAGGGCGCGCGCGAGAGAGAGAGAGAGAGAGGAUAGCGCGAGAGCAAGAGAGAGGCGAGGGAGCGAGAGAGAGGCGAGGGAGUGAGAGAGCGAGAGAGAGGCGAGGGAGCGAGAGAGAGCGAGAAACAAAGAGCUGUGCGGGCUAGGUUAUUUUCGCAAAAAAAUAAAAUGGGGGUGACAUUACCAGCUACUGUGCUAGUAGGUUAAUAUCAGCCCUUGGAUCAUACAGUUGUAGGAUAUACAACUCAUAUAGAGUUGUACCACCAACACUACUAUUAUUUUAGGUCAAUUUGCAUGAAAAUUCCACUAGUUUUGAAAUUU